AACGCUGGCGGCGUGCCUAACACAUGCAAGUCGAGCGCGAAAGGGGCUUCGCCCCUGAGUAGAGCGGCGGACGGGUGAGUAACACGUGGGUAACCUGCCUUCGGGUGAGGAAUAACCCAGGGAAACUUGGGCUAAUUCCGCAUGACAUCCCGAGCCCGCGAGGGUUUGGGAUCAAAGCUGGGGACCCUUCGGGGCCUGGCGCCUGAGGAGGGGCCCGCGGCCGAUUAGCUAGUUGGUAGGGUAAUGGCCUACCAAGGCGACGAUCGGUAGCCGGCCUGAGAGGGCGGACGGCCACACUGGGACUGAGACACGGCCCAGACUCCUACGGGAGGCAGCAGUGGGGAAUCUUUGGCAAUGGGGGCAACCCUGACCAAGCAACGCCGCGUGGAGGACGAAGACCCUUGGGUCGUAAACUCCUGUCGGACGGGACGAAUGCGGCUGGAGCGAAUAGCUCCGGUCGUUGACGGUACCGUACGAGGAAGCCCCGGCUAACUCCGUGCCAGCAGCCGCGGUAAUACGGGGGGGGCAAGCGUUGUUCGGAAUUACUGGGCGUAAAGGGCGCGUAGGCGGUCCGGUAAGUCCCUCGUGAAAUCCCACGGCUUAACCGUGGAAUGGCGGGGGAAACUGCCGGACUUCGAGUCCGGGAGAGGGGAGUGGAAUUCCCAGUGUAGCGGUGAAAUGCGUAGAUAUUGGGAGGAACACCGGUGGCGAAGGCGGCUCCCUGGACCGCGACUGACGCUGAGGCGCGAAAGCUAGGGGAGCAAACG
This 767-nucleotide ribosomal RNA is filed under the name uncultured Acidobacteriota bacterium. RNAcentral's name for it is "bacterial SSU rRNA". It matches the Rfam family "Bacterial small subunit ribosomal RNA", at positions 32 to 774 of the family's 1533-position model. The record is from RNAcentral. Lineage: Bacteria; Pseudomonadati; Acidobacteriota.